This 69-nucleotide transfer RNA is filed under the name Kulikovia alborostrata. Its description in RNAcentral is "tRNA-Leu". The record is from RNAcentral. Lineage: Eukaryota; Metazoa; Nemertea; Pilidiophora; Heteronemertea; Lineidae.
UUUGUGUUAGCAAAAUUUUGCGAUUGAGUUAGAUUCAGUAGAUGUACUUUAUAUUUGGUGCACACAAUA